Podarcis lilfordi (Lilford's wall lizard) is the source of this 64-nucleotide non-coding RNA. NCBI's taxonomy places the organism in Eukaryota, Metazoa, Chordata, Lepidosauria, Squamata, Lacertidae. The record is from the annotation of a GenBank genome assembly.
GGACAUAGCUCAGUGGUAGAGCACUGCAUGCAAAAGGCCCCAGAUUCAACCCCUAGUAUCUCCA